RNAcentral lists this non-coding RNA (28 nucleotides) under Cricetulus griseus (Chinese hamster). The record is from RNAcentral. Lineage: Eukaryota; Metazoa; Chordata; Mammalia; Rodentia; Cricetidae.
GAGGUGGCUGAGUGGUUAAGGUGAUGGA